Molecule: unclassified non-coding RNA, 343 nt
Filed under: soil metagenome
Description: partial contains 5.8S ribosomal RNA, internal transcribed spacer 2, and large subunit ribosomal RNA
Rfam family: 5.8S ribosomal RNA (bases 1-120)
Source: RNAcentral
GAUGAAGAACGUAGCGAAAUGCGAUAAGUAAUGUGAAUUGCAGAAUUCAGUGAAUCAUCGAAUCUUUGAACGCACAUUGCGCCCGCCAGCAUUCUGGCGGGCAUGCCUGUUCGAGCGUCAUUUCAACCCUCGAGCCCCCCCGGGGGCCUCGGUGUUGGGGGACGGCACACCAGCCGCCCCCGAAAUGCAGUGGCGACCCCGCCGCAGCCUCCCCUGCGUAGUAGCACACACCUCGCACCGGAGCGCGGAGGCGGUCACGCCGUAAAACGCCCAACUUUCUUAGAGUUGACCUCGGAUCAGGUAAGAAUACCCGCUGAACUUAAGCAUAUCAAUAAGCGGAGGA